This 322-nucleotide long non-coding RNA is filed under the name Musa acuminata (dwarf banana). RNAcentral describes it as "long non-coding RNA (MACU_LNC003820)". The record is from RNAcentral. Lineage: Eukaryota; Viridiplantae; Streptophyta; Magnoliopsida; Zingiberales; Musaceae.
AGGAAGCCACAAGGUCAUCAUAGGCUGACGCAAUUACUUAUCUACCCUUAAAUGACAUGUUAAUUUCUUUCGUCGGUGACGCGUCGUGUCCAGAUUGGUCUCACGACGAUACGUUUUGUCUGGGUCAGUACAGGAACCAGCCUGGGGUUUAGGUGAGGGUCCUUCUCGGAAGAGAAAUCUUGAGUUCAUUCCCCAAAACUUCCGCCCGCAAAGGUUCCAGUGGAGCCCACGGGUGAAGUGAUGCAUACCUCACCGUUGUCUCAGCAGAUCACGUUCGCGAGGGAGAUAACAAGUGGGUCGCGCAGUGGGUAGUAACUCUGAG